AGCGGCGGACGGGUGAGUAACGCGUGGGUAACCUGCCCUGUACACACGGAUAACAUACCGAAAGGUAUGCUAAUACGAGAUAAUAUACUUUUAUCGCAUGGUAGAAGUAUCAAAGCUCUGGCGGUACAGGAUGGACCCGCGUCUGAUUAGCUAGUUGGUAAGGUAACGGCUUACCAAGGCGACGAUCAGUAGCCGACCUGAGAGGGUGAUCGGCCACAUUGGAACUGAGACACGGUCCAAACUCCUACGGGAGGCAGCAGUGGGGAAUAUUGCACAAUGGGCGAAAGCCUGAUGCAGCAACGCCGCGUGAGCGAUGAAGGCCUUCGGGUCGUAAAGCUCUGUCCUCAAGGAAGAUAAUAACGGUACUUGAGGAGGAAGCCCCGGCUAACUACGUGCCAGCAGCCGCGGUAAUACGUAGGGGGCUAGCGUUAUCCAGAAUUACUGGGCGUAAAGGGUGCGUAGGUGGUUUCUUAAGUCAGAGGUGAAAGGCUACGGCUCAACCGUAGUAAGCCUUUGAAACUGGGAAACUUGAGUGCAGGAGAGGAGAGUGGAAUUCCUAGUGUAGCGGUGAAAUGCGUAGAUAUUAGGAGGAACACCAGUUGCGAAGGCGGCUCUCUGGACUGUAACUGACACUGAGGCACGAAAGCGUGGGGAGCAAACAGGAUUAGAUACCCUGGUAGUCCACGCCGUAAACGAUGAGUACUAGCUGU
Molecule: ribosomal RNA, 710 nt
Filed under: uncultured bacterium
Lineage: Bacteria
Description: bacterial SSU rRNA
Rfam family: Bacterial small subunit ribosomal RNA
Source: RNAcentral